CCUACGGGGGGCAGCAGUGAGGAAUAUUGGUCAAUGGCCGGAAGGCUGAACCAGCCAUGCCGCGUGAAGGUCAGUGCCCUAUGGGCGUUAAACUUCUUUUGUGCGGGAGCAAUAAUGGUCACGUGUGGCCAGACGAGAGUACCGUACGAAUAAGCAUCGGCUAACUCCGUGCCAGCAGCCGCGGUAAUACGGGGGAUGCAAGCGUUAUCCGGAUUUAUUGGGUUUAAAGGGUGCGUAGGCUGUGCGGUAAGUCAGCGGGGAAAUGCCCCCGCUCAACGGGGUGAAGUGCCAUUGAUACUGCCUUGCUGGAAUGCGGAUGCCGUGGGAGGAAUGUGUGGUGUAGCGGUGAAAUGCAUAGAGAUCACACAGAACACCGAUUGCGAAGGCAUCUCACGAAUCCGCGAUUGACGCUGAUGCACGAAAGCGUGGGUAUCAAACAGGAUUAGAUACCCCAGUAGUC
Molecule: ribosomal RNA, 460 nt
Filed under: uncultured bacterium
Lineage: Bacteria
Description: partial 16S ribosomal RNA
Rfam family: Bacterial small subunit ribosomal RNA
Source: RNAcentral